GACGGUCGGCGACGUGCCUUACACAUGCAAGUCGAACGGUAACAGGUCUUCGGAUGCUGACGAGUGGCGAACGGGUGAGUAAUACAUCGGAACGUGCCCGAUCGUGGGGGAUAACGCAGCGAAAGCUGUGCUAAUACCGCAUACGAUCUACGGAUGAAAGCGGGGGACUCGCAAGGGCCUCGCGCGGACGGAGCGGCCGAUGGCAGAUUAGGUAGUUGGUGGGAUAAAAGCUUACCAAGCCGACGAUCUGUAGCUGGUCUGAGAGGACGACCAGCCACACUGGGACUGAGACACGGCCCAGACUCCUACGGGAGGCAGCAGUGGGGAAUUUUGGACAAUGGGCGCAAGCCUGAUCCAGCCAUGCCGCGUGCAGGAUGAAGGCCUUCGGGUUGUAAACUGCUUUUGUACGGAACGAAAAAGCUCUCUCUAAUACAGGGGGUGAAUGACGGUACCGUAAGAAUAAGCACCGGCUAACUACGUG
This 481-nucleotide ribosomal RNA is filed under the name uncultured bacterium. Its description in RNAcentral is "bacterial SSU rRNA". It matches the Rfam family "Bacterial small subunit ribosomal RNA", at positions 35 to 507 of the family's 1533-position model. The record is from RNAcentral.